Molecule: long non-coding RNA, 1457 nt
Filed under: Corvus moneduloides (New Caledonian crow)
Lineage: Eukaryota; Metazoa; Chordata; Aves; Passeriformes; Corvidae
Description: lncRNA (ENSCMUG00000017093.1)
Source: RNAcentral
AUGGCGCAUCACGGUGCACGCUCUGCAAACGUGAGCUGCACUGCCGAGCUGCUCAAGCACGUCUCUGCUGCAGGUCACGGCGUUUCUUCUUUGGCUUCUCGUGGCCCCGGGGCUGAGCCACAGCAGAGCCCUGGCAGAGCCCAGAGCAGCCUCAGCAUCCACAGAGCCCGGCUGCAAGGAGACAAAGCAGAAAGCGCCCGUCGGCUGAAGGCUCCCAUUCCCCUUGUCCCAGCCGCCCGCGGUGCCCAGGCCGUGCUGGCCGUGCUCAGAGCGCUGCCCAAAGCUGCCCAGCAUUGCUGCCUCUGGCAGCAGAGCAGGAGGGCAGGACACGUGCCCAGCCUGCAGCCGGCCGUGGCACAGCCACCUCCUCAGCAGCUGCCCAGAGCGGGAUGCUGCUGCGCUCGCUGCCGUCUCCCAAAAGCCCUUAUCCCAGCCGUGCCAAGAGGACGGGCACCCACCGCACGCCUCCCGCCGCCAGAAGAAAAGCUGCUCCCAAACGCUGUCCUCAGCCUUCUCCAAGGGCACGUCCCACCCACGCCGCAGCUGCUCCCAAGCACUUCGCCAUCCGGACCCGACAGCACCUAGAACGCUUCCUUUGGAAAAACAAACCAUAAAUCAAUGAAAAGAGAUUACAGACAAAAAGGGGAAACAAGGAAAAAGGUAAAAAAUCUUCUCUCUGCUGGGGCCUUGAGGAAGGCCCAAGCCCGCCAUGCGAGGGAAAAACCCACCCACGGGCCAGGGCAGCGCACGCUUUCUCCCUUCCCCCUGCACUGCCCCCAAAAGUCAUGCUGAGCCCAAAGCCAACAAGGGCAGUGGAGUAGCCCAAGCCCUUCCUUGCCUGCAGAGCAAAGCAGCCCAUGCACAGCUUCUGGUGUCCAACCUCUGCUCCCACCAUGGGGCUUGCUUUGUGUCGCGCCGGCUGCCCCAGCCCCAAUGUGGGGCACGGUGGGUGCUGGGGGCUGUUGGCAGGGCCAGGAGCAGACUCCCAGUUCAAAACCAGCCCAGCCUAUCCCCCCAGCCCUGCCAAAAAGCAGCUUGGCAGCCGACUGAAGAAUUGGUUGCAUCCGCCCCAGCAAAGGGGGGAACCUUUGCUUCCCGGCCAGGCUGUGCAAUGCACAAAUCUGGGAGCAGCCCCCUGCGUGUGGACUCAUCUGCAAAUUCGCCGUGGAGCCUGGCUUUGGAGAAGGUGCCACAAUUGAAGUCCAUCAUCUUCAGCUUGCCAGGUGGAGGAAGAGCUUGUCAUCGUUGAUGUCACCCUCCAUGUCUCCAGCAGCAGCAGCCGCACCUGGCACAGCUUCUCCAGGGGCUCCUUCUUCCCUGGGGCUGGAGCAGGCUGUCAGUGCUCUGCCCAGGGCCCCGGCUGUUGCUGAAGCAGGACAAGCAAAAGCAGCUGCCAUGGGGGCCACCAGUGCUGGGAAGAGCAGCUCAGCUCCAGCAGCAGGGCUGCGCGUGCCCAG